GGCGAACGGGUGAGUAACACGUGAGUAACCUGCCCUUGACUCUGGGAUAACUGCUGGAAACGGUGGCUAAUACCGGAUAUGAGACUUCUCCGCAUGGGGUGGUUUGGAAAGAUUUUUCGGUCAGGGAUGGACUCGCGGCCUAUCAGCUUGUUGGUGGGGUGAUGGCCUACCAAGGCGACGACGGUAGCCGGCUGAGAGGGCGACCGGCCACACUGGGACUGAGACCGGCCCAGACUCAUACGGGAGGCAGCAGUGGGGAAUAUUGCACAAUGGGCGCAAUGCCUGAUGCAGCGACGCCGGUGAGGGAUGGAGGCCUUCGGGUUGUAAACCUCUUUCAGCAGGGAAGAAGCGCAGUGACGGUCCCUGCAGAAGAAGCGCCGGUUAACUACGUGCCAGCCGCCG
This 402-nucleotide ribosomal RNA is filed under the name uncultured bacterium. RNAcentral's name for it is "bacterial SSU rRNA". It matches the Rfam family "Bacterial small subunit ribosomal RNA", at positions 97 to 517 of the family's 1533-position model. The record is from RNAcentral.